Molecule: ribosomal RNA, 450 nt
Filed under: uncultured bacterium
Lineage: Bacteria
Description: bacterial SSU rRNA
Rfam family: Bacterial small subunit ribosomal RNA
Source: RNAcentral
UUGCCAGACUCCUACGGGAGGCAGCAGUGGGGAAUAUUGGGCAAUGGGCGCAAGCCUGACCCAGCAACGCCGCGUGAAGGAAGAAGGCUUUCGGGUUGUAAACUUCUUUUGACAGGGAAGAGCAGAAGACGGUACCUGUCGAAUAAGCCACGGCUAACUACGUGCCAGCAGCCGCGGUAAUACGUAGGUGGCAAGCGUUGUCCGGAUUUACUGGGUGUAAAGGGCGUGUAGCCGGGCUGACAAGUCAGAUGUGAAAUCCGGGGGCUCAACCCCCGAACUGCAUUUGAAACUGUUGGUCUUGAGUAUCGGAGAGGCAGGCGGAAUUCCUAGUGUAGCGGUGAAAUGCGUAGAUAUUAGAAGGAACACCAAUAGCGUAGGCAGGUUACUGGGACGGUUCUGACACUAAGGCACGAAAGCGUGGGGAGCAAACGGGAUUAGAUACCCCCGUAU